Cyanistes caeruleus (blue tit) is the source of this 289-nucleotide non-coding RNA. NCBI's taxonomy places the organism in Eukaryota, Metazoa, Chordata, Aves, Passeriformes, Paridae. The record is from RefSeq and is a predicted model, not a curated record.
UCCCUGGUUCCUGUGUGUCCGGUUCCCAGGUGGCGGGGCGCAAGGGGUUCCCCCACGUCAUCUACGCCCGUCUGUGGCGCUGGCCCGACCUGCACAAGAACGAGCUGAAGCACGUCAAGUACUGCCAGUACGCCUUCGACCUCAAGUGCGACAGUGUCUGCGUCAACCCUUACCACUACGAGCGCGUGGUGUCACCCGGCAUCGAUCUCUCGGGGCUGACGCUGCAGAGUUCAGGUGAGUAGCCCCGUGUUUCUGACACACCCGCAGAAAUCCUGCUUUUGGCCCCCCC